RNAcentral lists this long non-coding RNA (2012 nucleotides) under Sus scrofa (pig). RNAcentral describes it as "lncRNA (ENSSSCG00035066363.1)". The record is from RNAcentral. Lineage: Eukaryota; Metazoa; Chordata; Mammalia; Artiodactyla; Suidae.
UUUUUUUUUUUUUUUUUUUUUUUUGGCUGCACCUGUGGCAUAUGGAAGUUCCUGGGCCAGGUAUCGGAUCCAAGUUACAGGUGGGGCAACACUGGAUCCUUAACCCACUGAACCAGGCCGGGGACCAAUCCCUCACUUCUGCGGAGACCCAAGCCACUGCUGGGAGUCUUAACCCACUGUGCCACAGCAGGAACACUUCAUCAUUCACUUUUCAAAUGAGCAGAUUUUUUUUUUUUUUUGGCCAUGCCCACAGCAUGUGGAAGUUCCGGGGCCAGGAAUCAAACCCAGGCCACAGCACUGACAAUGCCAGAUUCUUUAAAAGCUAGAUCAUUAGGGGAACUCCUCAAAUGAGCAGAUUUUUAAACCAUAAUACUCAAUGUUGGGAAGAAUGGAGAGAAGAACACACUCAUCCCACUGCUGAUGGGAUGAAACUGGCCAAAUUUUAAGGACAAUGAACAUGAUGACUAAGAACCGUUUGAGUCAGGCCAUAACACUUCCAGGAAUUAAUUCUGAGAAAAUAAGGAGAGGCUCCUAAAGAUUUAGACUCAAGUAUAUUCAUCCCAGCUUCACGUAGAAUAGGAAACUAUUAUGUCCAACAGUAGGGGAAUGGAUAAAUAAACUAUGUCAGUAAGAGGGAAUAUAAUGUUGGCAACGAAAUUUUUUUUUUUUUUUUUUUGCUUUUUAGGGCCGCACCCGUGGCAUAUGGAGUGGCCCUAGAAAAGACAAAAAAAAAAAAAAAAAUUAAAUGGCCAUACCUGUGGUAUAUGUCAAUUCCCAGGCCAGGAAUUGAAUCCAAGGCAUAGCUGCAGCAAUGCCAGAUCCUUUAACCCACUGUGCUGGGCCAGGGAUCAAACCCAAGCGUCCAGUGACCCGAGCCACUGCAACUGUAUUCUUAAACCACUGCGCUACAGCAGAAACUCCUGAAAAUGUUUUUUGAAAGCAUCUACUGAUAGGUGGGAAUGCUCAUGAAAGUAUAAUGAGCAGAAAAAUAGGACAUCUAUAUCCAUUAGGAAAACUUCUAAUACCCCUGAUUGUCAUCAAGAAACAGUUUCUUGGAGUUCCCAUUGUGGCUCAGUGAUAACAAAUCUGGCUAGUAUUCAUGAGAAUGUGGGUUUGAUCCCUGGUCUCACUCCGUGGGUUAAGGAUCCAGUGUUUCUGUGAGCUACAAUGUGGGUUGCAGAUGCAGCUGGAUCCUGCGUGGCUGCGCCUGUGACGCAGGCUGGCAGCUACAGCUCCAAUUUGAUCCGUAGCCUGGGAUCAGGAUAUUCUGAGAGUUUGGCCCUUAAAAAAAAAGACCAAAAAAAAAAAAAAAAAGAAAAAGAAAAGAAAAGAAAAAAAAGAAAUAGUUUCGUAUGCAAUCAACAGAAUGAAAAAGGAACCUACAGAAAACAUUUGCAAGUCAUAUAAGAGGUUAAUGUCCAGAAUAUAUAAAGAACACAAUUUAAAAAAAAACAAUUAAAAAUUGGGCGAAGGACCUAAAUAGACAUCUCCAAAGAGGAUAUACGAAUGACUAACAGACACAUGAAAAGAUGCUCAAAGUCACUAAUCAUUAGGGAAAUACAAAACAAAAGCACAAACUAAAGAAAAUCAGUGUUGGUGAAGAUAUGGAGAAAUGUGGAGUCCUUAUACACUGUUGGUGGGAAUGUAAGAUGGUGCAGUCACUGUGGACAACCGUAUUGGGUUCCUCAAAAAAUUAAAAAUAGAAUUAACAUAUGAUCCAGCAAUUUCACUUCUAGAUAUUUACCCAAAAGAACUGAAAGCAGGGUCCCAAGGAGGGAUUUGUACACCCUUAUUCGUCAGCAUUGUUCAUAAUAGCCAAAAUGUGGAAGCAACCCAAGUGUACAUGGAUGGAUGUGUGGAUAAACAAAAUGUGGUAUAAACAUAGUGUUAGCCUUUAAAAGGAAGGAAAUAUUGACACACUCCCACACGGAUGAACCUUGAGGACAUUAUGUUAAGUGAAGUAAGCCAGUCACAAAAAGAUAAGUCCUAUGUGAUUCCACUUACAUAAGGUA